RNAcentral lists this ribosomal RNA (433 nucleotides) under uncultured bacterium. Its description in RNAcentral is "partial 16S ribosomal RNA". It matches the Rfam family "Bacterial small subunit ribosomal RNA", at positions 29 to 507 of the family's 1533-position model. The record is from RNAcentral.
AACGAACGCUGGCGGCAUGCCUAACACAUGCAAGUCGAACGAGACCUUCGGGUCUAGUGGCGCACGGGUGCGUAACGCGUGGGAACCUGCCCUUAGGUUCGGAAUAACUCCCCGACAGGGGUGCCAAUACCGGAUAAUGUCUUCGGACCAAAGAUUUAUCGCCUUUGGAUGGGCCCGCGUUGGAUUAGCUAGUUGGUAGGGUAAAAGCCUACCAAGGCGACGAUCCAUAGCUGGUCUGAGAGGAUGAUCAGCCACACUGGGACUGAGACACGGCCCAGACUCCUACGGGAGGCAGCAGUGGGGAAUAUUGGACAAUGGGCGAAAGCCUGAUCCAGCAAUGCCGCGUAAGUGAUGAAGGCCUUAGGGUUGUAAAGCUCUUUUACCCGGGAUGAUAAUGACAGUACCGGGAGAAUAAGCUCCGGCUAACUCCGUG